UACAGAGGGUGCAAGCGUUGUUCGGAAUUAUUGGGCGUAAAGCGCGUGUAGGCGGCUUUGCAAGUCGGGUGUGAAAUCCCUCAGCUCAACUGAGGAAGUGCGCCCGAAACUGCUUAGCUUGAGUGCCGGAGAGGAUGGCGGAAUUCCCCAAGUAGAGGUGAAAAUUCGUAGAUAUGGGGAGGAACACCGGUGGCGAAGGCGGCCAAUCUGGACGGUAACUGACGCUGAGACGCGAAAAGCGUGGGUAGCAAACGAGG
Molecule: ribosomal RNA, 257 nt
Filed under: uncultured bacterium
Lineage: Bacteria
Description: partial 16S ribosomal RNA
Rfam family: Bacterial small subunit ribosomal RNA
Source: RNAcentral